Molecule: ribosomal RNA, 377 nt
Filed under: Oligotrichia sp.
Lineage: Eukaryota; Ciliophora; Spirotrichea
Description: SSU rRNA
Rfam family: Eukaryotic small subunit ribosomal RNA
Source: RNAcentral
AGCUCCAAUAGCGUAUAUUAAAGUUGUUGCAGUUAAAAAGCUCGUAGUUGGAUUUCUGGGAGGGUGCCAAUGUCCGCCGUCGCGCGUGCGCAGCGGCGCCCUUCCAUCCUUCUGUUAACGCCUCUCGGCAUUCACUUGCUGGUGGCGGGCUCAGAUAUUUUACCUUGAGAAAAUUAGAGUGUUUCAGGCAGGCUAGGCCGGAAUACAUUAGCAUGGAAUAAUGGAAUAGGACUACGGUCUCUUUGUUGGUUUGAGGGACUGCAGUAAUGAUUAAUAGGGAUAGUUGGGGGCAUCAGUAUUUAAUUGUCAGAGGUGGAAUUCUCGGAUUUGUUAAAGACUAACUUAUGCGAAAGCAUUUGCCAAGGAUGUUUUCAUUA